AAGCGCUCGCGACCAGACUUGGGUGUUGUGGAUCCGCAGGCGUUCGCCGCCUGUGUACUCUGCCUCGCCUAGGCCAGCAUCGGUUUGCGGUAGGGGAGAAAAAUAGGGGAAAUGUGGCUCUCUUCGGAGAGUGUUAUAGCCCGUUGCGUAAUACCCUGGGACGGACUGAGGUUCGCGCUCUGCAAGGAUGCUGGCGUAAUGGUCAUCAACGA
This 212-nucleotide ribosomal RNA is filed under the name Hypocreales sp. RNAcentral's name for it is "partial large subunit ribosomal RNA". Lineage: Eukaryota; Fungi; Ascomycota; Sordariomycetes; Hypocreales. The record is from RNAcentral.